UUUCUUUCCAGUUUUAUUAAAUCAUCAAAACUAUUUUUAUCAUCAAAUAGCUGUUCUGUGCUUUGUUCUUGAAAUAAAUAUUUAACAUUAUCUGCUUUGGGGAUGACAGAAAAACUCAACCUUGAAAUAAAACAAAUAUUUAAUGUAGUAAUCACAUUUCAAUAAGCAAGAUUUUGAAUAGCAACAUAUGUUGCUCUGUUCAGGCAUUUUGCUGGGAUGUUUUGUUUUGUUUGCAAUUUAAAUGCUUGUGGUUGCAAUCUGCAGAAUAAUAAUUGAGGGAAAUGGCAAAAGAUACUUGGUAACCAUGAGGAAUAGGUUCCUAUUCUACAAAGCUCUAGAAUAGCUGUGUAAAUGAUCCGUAGUGGAAAAUGCGGGUGGUUUAUUAAAAGAUCAAUUAAAAGACAUUUUCUCUCGAGUCUGCAGUCUUGGGCUAUGUGGUAUUGUGAUGCUUACUUUAAGAUGAGACAUUUUUCUCAACAAUUUACCUUUGUUAUAAGUUAAAAUAACUGUUGUUUAGAUCUUUACAUACACAUUAAAUGUGAUUUUUCUUUUCCUUGUGCAAUACUUUGUAAUAGCAUCUCCAUUCCUGUAGCAAAUUUCAAGAUCUUAAUAAUUUUACAAUACCUGAUUAGCAAACUAGAAUAAUACCAGUUGUUUUCAGAUGAACAUGUGCUACCACAGUUCUUGGGGAACAGUUCUGUGAAUAAUAUACAUAUAUAUUCUGAAUACUCCCCAGAGAGUCAGUGUUCCUGAGUCAGGCAUAUAUCAUUCUUUUCAGAGAGAAGCUGAGAAGUGUAAGAGAUAAAAUAAAUUUAAAGACUACAAGUAAACUAGGUAUGUAUUGAAGGAGAUGAAAGAAAAAGAAAAAUACACUUUGUGUAUCAGAAAUUGUAUUUCAUUAGUUCUGCUCCCAAGUUCUCUUUUAUGCAUGUCAGGGUGAAUCUAACUGACUAGGGAAACUAGUACCAGAAUACCAGUGUCUUAACUGAUACUGCUUCUCAGCUUCCAUUAUUGAUAUACUUUAGGUUAAUAUGGUUGUGAAAAGAUGGUGAAGACGGCAGCCAACUAUACCCUCUAUGAUAUAAACAGUGCAGAAACACUGGAACAACAAUGGAGAGUAGGAACUGUUUCAUUCAUCCCAGGGAGGCACCAGUUCAGCUCCAAACGGAUAAUUUCAAUGUGUAAUUGAAGCUUUAUGAAAAAUUUAUGUUUGACAGAAGAAAAGAGAUGGAUUACCACAGUUGAACAUAAUUUACUUAAUUGGCCCAACUUGGUGGCUGUUGGGAAGUAUAACCAAUUCCAGCAGGGAGUCAAGCAGAAGGAGCCCAGGUGUUCCUCCAUAUGGUGCAUUCAUUCUAUUUUUAACAUCUCUUCAGUGUAAUAGGACAGGGCAUUAGUGCAACAAAAUUUGUUUUCAGGACUAAGCUACCAGCUUUAGUGUGAAGAAUCCAAGUAGCUAAAAGAAAAUUAUUUUAUUUUGUACAAUAAUAAUAAAUUAAAGAUAAAAUGGUCCAAACUCACAGAGGUUAUAAGGCAACCAAGACCUUAAGGAGGUGGAAUGGUCUUAUAUUGAGCUGCAUAAAUCACUAGUUUCUGAUGUUGUAUCAUGUGGUUAUUUUUAUCUUUACAAGGUUGUACUAGUUUUGUUGAACAGUUUCUAAUUCUUGUUCAGGGUGAGAUGGGAACCACCCAUCCUGUCCAUGCCCUGUCUCAGUGUUCUACUCCAUCACUCAGUGAUUUCUUUUACUAAGCUGAAGAGUCCUAUACUACCUUAUGUUUGUCAAAGGGAAAUGAUCACAUUUUCCAUCAUGGUUGCCCUCUGAAUCCUUUGAAAUUAUAAAAUGAGUCAUUAGGUUCUUUGACAGUUACUGUUUGUUUGUGCUUGGAUUUGAUAAAGCAUUCUGCAUUUAAGUUCUAUACGUAUAAAUUCUAGAAAUAUAAAUACAAUGGAAUCAUUUUAUAUAACCAGCACUUGUCUUAAAAUUCUUAUGACAUCACUGAAAUAUAGAGUAGCUUUAAUGCCACCUCCUGGACAAAGAUUUAAAUAGUAGUUUAGCCAGACUUAAUUUGAAGUAACUCUUUAAAAUCGGAACAAGUAACUUUCAACGUUUAAAAUGUUUAUAUUAAUCACUUUAGAUCCAAAUACUUUGAUUUAUUGUGUCAGUUAGGAUAAUGCUGACAUUUCAAAAUAUGUAUUUUGCCCUAUGUUCCAGUAUGAGAUAACAUAUGUUGUCUAUUUCAAAAGUGCAACAUUAACUGAAAAAUUUGAAACUGUUCAUUGAAUUCAAGGUUAAAUAUUCAGUCUUUAGGGCUUGCUACUUCUGGAAAAGCAUUAUGUGUAUAUAAAAUAAAGCAGAUGAAUCUUUAGUUUUGUUUUACUUUUAAGGAAAAAAUAUUUGUCUGUAAGCUCUUCUGAUAAUUUUGCCAUUCUGAGAUAUGCAUGUUAUGGUACUUCAUUGAAAGGGAUUGCUAUCAUGUAUUCCUUUUAAUAACAAGAAAACAAUUCUUAUUGUCACCCUACAGAGAUUUCUAGUAAUGGUUUUUAACUUGGAAAUAGGAAGGUAUGUACCAUUUGAAGGACAUGAAUAUUUUUUUAUUGGCCCCACAUUUCAGAAAUCAUUGUUUCAGCAACAGUCAAACUGACACGAUGUGUCCAGCAUAUGCUCAUGUUUUGCUAUCCUCUAGAUGUUAGUGUGGUUUGUAAUGGGAUCUUAACAAACAUCUCUGUCAGUUCUGCUCAGGGGAGUGGCUGGGUGAGGCAGUUCCUCUUCCAAGGCAGUUCUGUACUGAUGGGUUUUGCUCUGUUCAGGCAGGACAGAGGCUGCUUCCAGACAGACACAGCCAGUCCAGUCCCUGCCCCAGCAGUGUGGGAGCCACAGUGAUCAA
Non-coding RNA from Taeniopygia guttata (zebra finch), 2886 nucleotides. Lineage: Eukaryota; Metazoa; Chordata; Aves; Passeriformes; Estrildidae. The record is from RefSeq and is a predicted model, not a curated record.